RNAcentral lists this ribosomal RNA (253 nucleotides) under uncultured bacterium. RNAcentral describes it as "partial 16S ribosomal RNA". It matches the Rfam family "Bacterial small subunit ribosomal RNA", at positions 524 to 776 of the family's 1533-position model. The record is from RNAcentral.
UACGUAGGGGGCAAGCGUUGUCCGGAAUCAUUGGGCGUAAAGAGCGCGUAGGCGGCCAGAUAAGUCCGGUGUGAAAGUCCCAGGCUCAACCUGGGAAUGCCGCCGGAAACUGUCUGGCUAGAGUCCGGAAGGGGCCAGUGGAAUUCCCGGUGUAGCGGUGAAAUGCGCAGAUAUCGGGAGGAACACCAAUGGCGAAGGCAGCUGGCUGGGACGGUACUGACGCUGAGGCGCGAAAGCGUGGGGAGCGAACAGG